GACAGCGCCGCCACGGUAAUACGUAGGUGGCAAGCGUUGUCCGGAAUUAUUGGGCGUAAAGGGCUCGCAGGCGGUUUCUUAAGUCUGAUGUGAAAGCCCCCGGCUCAGCCGGGGAGGGUCAUUGGAAACUGGGAAACUUGAGUGCAGAAGAGGAGAGUGGAAUUCCACGUGUAGCGGUGAAAUGCGUAGAGAUGUGGAGGAACACCAGUGGCGAAGGCGACUCUCUGGUCUGUAACUGACGCUGAGGAGCGAAAGCGUGGGGAGCGAACAGGAUUAGAUACCCCUGUAGUCCCUGUCUCUUAUACA
This 306-nucleotide ribosomal RNA is filed under the name uncultured bacterium. RNAcentral describes it as "partial 16S ribosomal RNA". It matches the Rfam family "Bacterial small subunit ribosomal RNA", at positions 507 to 808 of the family's 1533-position model. The record is from RNAcentral.